GUGAUCUGAUUGACCACGCAGAUUUUAUGUAGUUACACAUUUUUUUAAUAUGUAAAACAGACUUUAAUUUAAAUAGAUACUGUAAUUAAGUAAGGUUUGGCCAAGAACAAUAGAAUUCUGGCAAAUAUAUAGGCCUAAUUGAUCUAUAGGCAGGGCAUACUAAUAAAAAGUGGUAUUCGUUUUCAACACACUGCAUAUUACAACAUUUACAUAAACGUAAUUCUCUAGCCAUGCCAGUAAAUCUUCCUGUUUCAAUGUUUAGUUUUAGUGUACCACUUCGCAAUUUAGUUAAAAAGUGUGAAUUAUAACAG
This 311-nucleotide long non-coding RNA is filed under the name Mytilus galloprovincialis (Mediterranean mussel). The record is from RNAcentral. Lineage: Eukaryota; Metazoa; Mollusca; Bivalvia; Mytilida; Mytilidae.